RNAcentral lists this ribosomal RNA (1175 nucleotides) under Salmonella enterica subsp. enterica serovar Stanley. RNAcentral's name for it is "partial 23S ribosomal RNA". It matches the Rfam family "Bacterial large subunit ribosomal RNA", at positions 983 to 2141 of the family's 2925-position model. Lineage: Bacteria; Pseudomonadati; Pseudomonadota; Gammaproteobacteria; Enterobacterales; Enterobacteriaceae. The record is from RNAcentral.
GACACACGGCGGGUGCUAACGUCCGUCGUGAAGAGGGAAACAACCCAGACCGCCAGCUAAGGUCCCAAAGUCAUGGUUAAGUGGGAAACGAUGUGGGAAGGCCCAGACAGCCAGGAUGUUGGCUUAGAAGCAGCCAUCAUUUAAAGAAAGCGUAAUAGCUCACUGGUCGAGUCGGCCUGCGCGGAAGAUGUAACGGGGCUAAACCAUGCACCGAAGCUGCGGCAGCGACACUGUGUGUUGUUGGGUAGGGGAGCGUUCUGUAAGCCUGUGAAGGUGUGUCGUGAGGCAUGCUGGAGGUAUCAGAAGUGCGAAUGCUGACAUAAGUAACGAUAAAGCGGGUGAAAAGCCCGCUCGCCGGAAGACCAAGGGUUCCUGUCCAACGUUAAUCGGGGCAGGGUGAGUCGACCCCUAAGGCGAGGCCGAAAGGCGUAGUCGAUGGGAAACGGGUUAAUAUUCCCGUACUUGGUGUUACUGCGAAGGGGGGACGGAGAAGGCUAUGUUGGCCGGGCGACGGUUGUCCCGGUUUAAGCGUGUAGGUGUGUGUUCCAGGUAAAUCCGGUUCACUUUAACACUGAGGCGUGACGACGAGGCACUACGGUGCUGAAGCAACAAAUGCCCUGCUUCCAGGAAAAGCCUCUAAGCAUCAGGUAACAUCAAAUCGUACCCCAAACCGACACAGGUGGUCAGGUAGAGAAUACCAAGGCGCUUGAGAGAACUCGGGUGAAGGAACUAGGCAAAAUGGUGCCGUAACUUCGGGAGAAGGCACGCUGACACGUAGGUGAAGUGAUUUACUCAUGGAGCUGAAGUCAGUCGAAGAUACCAGCUGGCUGCAACUGUUUAUUAAAAACACAGCACUGUGCAAACACGAAAGUGGACGUAUACGGUGUGACGCCUGCCCGGUGCCGGAAGGUUAAUUGAUGGGGUCAGCGCAAGCGAAGCUCCUGAUCGAAGCCCCGGUAAACGGCGGCCGUAACUAUAACGGUCCUAAGGUAGCGAAAUUCCUUGUCGGGUAAGUUCCGACCUGCACGAAUGGCGUAAUGAUGGCCAGGCUGUCUCCACCCGAGACUCAGUGAAAUUGAACUCGCUGUGAAGAUGCAGUGUACCCGCGGCAAGACGGAAAGACCCCGUGAACCUUUACUAUAGCUUGACACUGAACAUUGAGCCUUGAUGUGUAG